AAAAACAAGGGGGGUUUAGGGAGAAGAAUUCCCCCCACAAUUUUGUUUUGGAGGACGCGGGCCAAAAUUUUUUUGGGGGGGGCCACACAGGGGGGAAAUAUUUCUAAAAGGGGGGGGGGUGUUUAAACCCCCCCCAUUUGGGGGAAGGGGAAAGAGGGCCCUAACGGGUUUUAAACCCUUUUUUUGGGGGGGACCAAAAGGGGCCCCCGGGGGGGGGCCUUGGGGGAAACCCCCGAAGAAAAAGAAUGGGGUAAUUUCCGGUCCAAGCACCCCGGGUUAAUUCCGGAAAAUGGGGGCGUAAUCCGGAAUUUAAUGGGUUUAAAGGGGUGGCAGGGCGGCGGGUCAAGUCAGCGUCUCAAAGUUCGGGCUCAACCCGGUGAUGCCGUGAAACUGCGAGCCUGAGNUUCGUGGAGGAAGCNGGAAUGCGCGGUGUAGCGGUGAAAUGCAUAGAUAUCACGCAGAACCCCGAUGNCGAAGUCAGCCUUCCAUCACGCCACUGACGCUGAGGCACGAAAGCGUGGGUAUCGAACA
RNAcentral lists this ribosomal RNA (531 nucleotides) under uncultured bacterium. Its description in RNAcentral is "partial 16S ribosomal RNA". The stretch from base 93 to 531 matches the Rfam family "Bacterial small subunit ribosomal RNA", at positions 1 to 774 of the family's 1533-position model. The record is from RNAcentral.